This is a long non-coding RNA of Gorilla gorilla gorilla (western lowland gorilla), 350 nucleotides long. RefSeq lists it as uncharacterized. NCBI's taxonomy places the organism in Eukaryota, Metazoa, Chordata, Mammalia, Primates, Hominidae. The record is from RefSeq and is a predicted model, not a curated record. The transcript has 3 exons.
UGGAGGAUAGCAUGAAUCUCUGACAUCCAUCGAUCAUCCCCAGGCUCCAUUAAAGCACCUAAGGUCUUGCUCUGUCGCCCAGGCUGGAAUGCAGUGGCACGAUCUCGGCUCACUGUAAGCUCCGCCUCCCUGGUUCAUGCCAUUCUCCUGCCUCAGCCUCCCAAGUAGCUGGGACUACAGGUGGCCACCACCAUGCCUGGAGGUGGAAUCCUGCCAUUUUGCCCAGGGUGGAUUUGAACACAUGACCCUCCUGCCUCAGUUUUCCGAGUAGCUGGGACUGAAAAAGCAGCGUCUCUGUUUUUGUGUUCAGAGUGACAUUAACCUACUUCUGUUUAAAUGAAUAAAAUUGU